Molecule: long non-coding RNA, 463 nt
Filed under: Mus caroli (Ryukyu mouse)
Lineage: Eukaryota; Metazoa; Chordata; Mammalia; Rodentia; Muridae
Description: lncRNA (MGP_CAROLIEiJ_G0002387.1)
Source: RNAcentral
GCAGGUCUUUUGCUUUCUCUUUCCGGUCUCCCUCCCCUCCCCCUCUCGGGCCCGCGGGACCACAAUGCUCCGCGCCUCUUGUCAUUGGGAGGCGCCUUAAAGUGGGGGUCACUCGGAAAGAAAAGAACAGAAUUCCAUGGAUAACAGGAAAAACCCAAGAGUUGGUGCUGUGUUCCCAACCCUAGUCCAGCACAAACCUACGAGCCAAGGCAGCCAGUAUUUGGCCAUUCGUCCAUCCAUCUGCAUAUCCCAGGGAUGCACGAACAGAGAACAGUUCAGCCUCUCGGCCGCCUUCAAUAGAGCAAUGAGAAAGAAGUUAUUUGGGGGAGACUGCUUUUCGUCAUCUGAUUCUAUAUUGACCUGAAUAAAUAAGCUUAAAUACUUCUGAAGUUCCUUCUUGAUCUGUAUAAAAGAUUCCUUGACCAAUUUAGUCCUGCUUGAAGAAAUAAAAAAGAUUAACCAU